Molecule: long non-coding RNA, 270 nt
Filed under: Eucalyptus grandis
Lineage: Eukaryota; Viridiplantae; Streptophyta; Magnoliopsida; Myrtales; Myrtaceae
Description: long non-coding RNA (EGRA_LNC005200)
Source: RNAcentral
CAAAGAAAAUCCGAUACACAGCUUCCUCACUCAGCUCACUCGUCGCUUCCAUCCACGAUAGAUCUCAAAUGGCACCUCAUGCAGACCGCCUUGUCAACGUUGGAAGAGAUGGGAUUACAAUAAUAGACAGAAUUUACGGUCCAAGGCCAGUGGCUCAAGGGGCAAGGAAUCGAUACAUCCCACAACAAUCCCACGAGGCUGUUCAAGACACAGCGGCUCCUUAUCAUGGUAAUUUCAUUGAUAGCAUGAUGGCGGCUAGGAAGUACAAGG